RNAcentral lists this long non-coding RNA (5226 nucleotides) under Sus scrofa (pig). RNAcentral's name for it is "lncRNA (ENSSSCG00015059348.1)". The record is from RNAcentral. Lineage: Eukaryota; Metazoa; Chordata; Mammalia; Artiodactyla; Suidae.
GGACCAGGUCACCUGUCAGACCGCUUGCGCACAGUGGUAAGAGGGCCAGAACCCCGCAGGGGUUUUAGUUUAAAUCCUGCCCCUGAUUGAACCCGGGUAAGUCUAGACACAUCUCUUUUCAUACUUUGGGCUCGUUUAGAGCCUGCCGUGCUCACGGCCUGCUCCGUGGACUUCUUUCUUUCUGUCCCCGUACUGAGCCUGGUGUACCAGAUGCUCAAAGGAAGCUCUGGAAUUAGUUGUGGCUAAGUCUGCCGUGAUGAUAAGGCAUUCCUGAAAUUGCUCUCAGACGCCAGCGAUCCAUCUUUCACUGUUGGAUCAGUUGUUUGCUGGUGGCUUGGGGUGGUCCAGUUACAGGUGUGUUUAUCGGGGUUCAUGGAGACGCCGGGCGUCUCGGGUGGCUGAUGUGUGUCUCUCCUUCAGAGUUUGGGUUUCUCCCAAGAAGUCGGGGAAUCUCCUGCGAUAACGGGACUUACAGAAGUUCCUGUCAUGGCUCGUUGGAAAUGAACCUGACAAGUACCCAUGUGGACGCGCUUUCCAUCUCUGGCCUCCCUCAGUGGGUUAAGGAUCCGGCGUUGCCAUGAGCUGUGGUGUAGGUUGAAGACGUGGCUGGGAUCCUGCGUGGCUGUGGCUGUGAUGUAGGCCAGCAGCUGUAGGUCCGAUUCAGCCCCCAGCCUGGGGAAUUUCCAUAUGCCGUGGGUGCGGUGCUAAAAAGCAAAAUAAUAGUAAUAAUGACGAUGAUGGGACUUCCUAAGAAGAAACAGAGGGCAUCUGGCCGGGGGAGGGGGUGGGCACCACCAGAGCAGGCUUCUUUUGUGGUUGCAGGUGUGGGGUGGGCCCCCAUACCCAGUGACAUAGGCAUCUCUUGCGGGGGGUGUAAUUCUAUUUUUAGUGCAUUUAAAAUAUUUCCUUUAUCUUUGAAGAUAACAGGCAUAUGUGCUCCAUGUAAGCAAAUUAUAGAAAAUAAGGAAAACUUAGAAAAACAAAACCCACCUCCAGUUUCACUUUAGAGAACAGCUGUUAACAUGUGUUAACAUUUAUGGGGUUUUGAUGCUCUCCUUUCUGUCAUGUUCCUUUCUGGUGGCUUUAAAAUUCGGGUAAACACUAUCUAAGAGUCUGCGGGGCAUUCCCAUCGUGGCGCAGUGGAACUGAAUCCGACUAGGAACCAUGAGGUUGCGGGUUCCAUCCCUGCCCUUGCUGAGCAGGUUAAGGAUCCGGCGUUGCCGUGAGCUGUGGUGUAGGUCACAGAUGCUGCUCGGAUCUGGCAUUGCUGUGGCUGCGGUGUAGGUCAGUAGCUGUAGCUCCAAUUCGACCCCUAGCCUGGGAACCUCCAUGUGCCAUGGGUGCAGCCCUAAGAAAAAGAAAAAAAAAGGACUUUGCAGUUUGCACAAGAUUCAGGAACCCCUGUGCCACAUGGGAAACUGGGGCACACCGGCCAGCAUCCUGAGGCUGGGAAGCUUCGUGUGGCCUCGAGUUCAGAGUUCAGCCUUCUGUCCGCGAUCCCGUGGGAAAGCCGGAUCUCUCUGGGAGCCAGCGAUGGAGCGGCUCUGAGUCUCACCGAGGCCGAGCUCCCGCCUCGAGCCCCAGCACCUCCUCUCCUCCUGAAGCAGAAGCGCAGAACUCCAUCCCUUGCAAAGCUCAGGGCGUGAGCGCGACGUCGCGGGGGUCAGCAGGGCGGGUCUGACUGUCCAGUGGGCGCCUCCUCCUGGACCCGCGGCUCAGGAGCAGGCCCAGUGGAGGGGACUCCGGGCUGCAUCCCAGUGCGCUGGGCAUCCGCUGCGUGGCCUCCUGACAGCAGGGCCCCCCCAGAGCCCAGCUCUGCUUCCUUCCUUCCCCGUCUCCUGUGCCCACUCGCUUUGAAUCCCUGCAGGACAGGACCCUGCCCUGCGGGGGACAGUCCCCUCUGCGCCCCCCACAUCAGCUGGCCCCUCCGUCCACCGGACAGCUCAGGGGAUGGACCCACAAGCCCUGUCUGCUGAGGGCGCUGGGCGUGCCUGGGUGGUAACAGGACACGACGCUGCGCGGUGGAGGCCACACUCCCAGACGACCCGCUCUCCCAGAGGACUGGGGGCAUUCCCAGGCUUUGCAGGGAGAACCUGGCCGGCUGCCGGAGGUGACAGGGUGACGCCCGCACAGCCGCCAGGUGAGAGCCCUGUUUCUGCCCCAGACUGCGUUCAUCAAGGUCGCUCUGCGUUUCUGUCAUGGUUUUUCCUCUUUGCCACACCUGCCCCCUGAACUGACCAUGUUGCUGGAGGCACAGGCGGAGGAGCAGAAGGAGCCCCCCCCCCAUCUGCCACCAGCUUCGCACGUGGAGCUGUGCCAGCUGUCCUCCGCCAACCCCUCCAGCCUCAUCCCAGGAACACUUGCCCUUGAGACUCAGCUUCCUCAUCCAGAAUGUGGGUGUGUGCUCUGUCCGGCCCAGUGGGCAAAUGUCAGAAUAAAGUGGGGUGACUUUUCCCAUAAAGCCCCGUGGGAAGCAGGCUGCCGUCCUGUUGGUUUCUGAGGGCUUUGCGAUUCCUUCUUACAUAUGCCCUUCAGCGGAGAGUCUUGCAAAUGUUCACUGCUUAGUUUUGCGAAUGGAACCAAACCAAACCCUGAAGAACCUGGACUGGUCUUUGGGAAAGACCCUCCCCGCAAGAGGUGGCAGCCGUUUCCCAGUUUGUCUUUCCACAGAAGCGUGUGUGUGUGUGUGUGUCUGGUUUGAUACAUAAACAUUUUGGCAUGAGCUUGGCUGUUUUCUUAUGGACUGAACACACAGUGUCAUCCAUAGAACCGUAUUUGGAACGGCAGUCUUGGCGAUGCUGUUUUAUUACCGAGACUGUAUUUAGUCACUUUGGGGCGGGUCCGAGGUCUGGCAGGAGGUGCGUCGCUCUUGCGUGUAGCCUUCCUCUGAAAGGUUGCCAAUUAGGGUGACCAUCUUUCUGUGAUGUGAGCGUUUUCUUCACAUGAAACAGACUUGAGAGUCAGAGUUAUUUCACAUGUUGAUGUGCUUACAGCUCCCGCCCGAACGCUCAAAACCAACUUAAUUCCACUUAGUCUCCUUACAAAAAAUAAGAAUAGUCAAUCCCACGAGAAAUAUGCAGAUCGGUUUCUUGCGUAUUCCCCCUCUCAAGUCUGAUGCGUCCUGUGAUCAAAAACAAGCUAGAAAAUGGAGUGCCCGUUGUGGUGCAGAGGGUUCAGCGUCCUGGCACAGUGGGUUAAGGUAUCUGGUGUUGCCGAAGCUGUGGUGUUGGUCCCGGUGAAGCUUGGAUUCAGUCUCUGGCCCAGGAACUUCCAUAUGCUGCGGGUGUGGCAUUAAUGCUAACAAAACCAACCGACCAACCAAACCAACCCAAACCAGAAUGGACUGUGCGCAGGCCAGUGGUUCUGUGAAGCCACAUGCCACAGGCGGGUUCAGAGGUUUGUCCUGUGCUGCAGCGUUUGCAACUGGCCCCCAGGAUGGUGUGAGUUUCUCUGAGCUUGUCCACAGCCAGCUUUAAAGACAUUAUUCUGGAAAAGCUGUCACGUGUGUGUGUCUUGAUCUCUGUGUCUGAGUCUGUCUCUGUCUCUGGCCCUAAAUCCAGCUGUGCUGAUUAUGGAACAGGCCAGGCGAGGCUGUGGUCUGAUUGAAGCGAAAGAUAAGUUUGUGUGGCAGAUUAUUUAUUUUACAAAAGAAUUAUUCUAGUCAAAGGAGUUCAGCAAGAACGUCUCAGAACAGUAAACUCUCUUAGGGCUUUUAAAAUCCGAUUAGCCUGCCCAAGGCUUGGUUUUAAUGCGCUUGCGCAGGAAACGGUGACCACGUGUAUUUCUAUGUCGGGCGAUUUCGUUCCUGCUGGUCGGCAUCUUCGCCUCCGCUCUCGUUUGCCAGUGGACCGCCAGGACCCCCUUCACGCCCCCUCUGGGGGUGAUGCUCACUCUCUCUCCCUCCGGCCUCUCCUUUAUUCUCUGCUGAAACCUUGGGGGACUCCUCAGUCACCAGACACGCCCGCGCUCCCCUGGCCCCUGGCCGUCGCCUCAGCCCAGCCCUUCUCAGAGCCUCAGAAUCGGCGGCCACAGACCCGCUCACUGCGCUUGCUUCAUUUCAUGGUGAUUGAAGUUCAAGCCCAGCCAUCGAGCAAAACCUCGGAGGCCCUGGUGCCGUUUGAAACGGGCCUCCCUCGUGUGACCUGGUUUAUUCUGCGCUGAGGGUCUGGGGGAGCAGAGGUCCUGUCGGCUUCCUUUCUGGAGUGCCCGCCACUGUCCAGAGUGACCAGUGCUCCCUAAGUGAUGAAAGCAGGAGCAUUUUUAUCCUUGCCAUCCGUCCGUGGGGUUCCUACUGUGGCGCAGCCGCCACUCUGGAUGGUGUCUCCAGGAAGCCAAAUUCUAAGAAAACAAAGCUGGAGGCACAGACUUAGAGUGGGACGUUUUCUUCCAGCUGAAGCCCUGAGUGUCUCCCCUGGUAGGUGGUGGAAACGUGUAAUUUGCCCUUCAGAAGAGGCCCGGAGGCGCUUGAACGGUGUCACGUGUCGCUCAUUCCAUUCGCAGUGAAACGACGGUAACAGUGUUGGGCCACAAAACACAUGAGCUGUGCUCCUCUGUCCGUCUCCCAGACGUUUGCUGGGUCCCUGCUCCUCGGGCCUCGAGCUUGGCGGGGAUUACAGGCCCGAAGGAGCAGGGCUGGGCUCUGAGCUCGUGCCUUUCUUUGUGGGAGGGUUUUGUCCACCUGCAGCUUGUCUAGUAACUAACUCUGAGCGUCCACUUCCUUAAGGGAGGGUUCCUUCUUGGGAAAGGUUCUUCCUCCUGUCCUCCUGUCCUCUUUCUUCCAAUCCACCCGUCAGUGCACGUGGAACAUUCCACAAAACACAGUGAGGAUGUGGUACGAAGACAGACGGAAGUUCGUUUCUGGCCCAGAGGGGAGGGUUUGAGCUGGUGGCUUAAAGGACCCGAGUCCCGCAGGAGCCCUGACGCCACACCUGGGGGGACGUGCUGCCUGGGGGACAAGGCCGGCGGCCGCUGCACGGGACUUCGUGGGCGUCCCUAUUCCUCUCUUUCGAUGAUUUCUGUGCUAUUCAAACAAAGAUGUACAGAACCACAGGGUAUGUAAAAGUCCCUUUAAGACCACGCUUCCCCGUCCCUCGGCUGAGGCAGGAUAGAAGGACCAAGUUCAAUUGUGGUUUGUACAGAAAUGUGUCCUUAGGGCAUCCACGAACUUGUCCUUGUGGGAAUGCAGUCGCUGAUGUGUAAAAUUCUUAAUUCAAAAAAAAAAAAAAA